GGAAGCCUACCUCAAGAUAAGAUUUCCCUAGGACUUUAUGUCCUCUAAAGAGCCGUUCGAGACUAGGACGUUGAUAGGUUGGAUGUGGAAGCAUAGUGAUAUGUGAAGCUGACCAAUACUAAUUGCUCGUGAGGCUUGACUAU
This 143-nucleotide ribosomal RNA is filed under the name Acinetobacter baumannii. Its description in RNAcentral is "partial 23S ribosomal RNA". It matches the Rfam family "Bacterial large subunit ribosomal RNA", at positions 2788 to 2925 of the family's 2925-position model. The record is from RNAcentral. Lineage: Bacteria; Pseudomonadati; Pseudomonadota; Gammaproteobacteria; Moraxellales; Moraxellaceae.